AUCGAUAAACAUUCACAGCCAUAUAAGUUUCUUCGCAGCAUCCGAUGCUGCGAUAUAUUUCACCUCGUAAACUGAGUCAGCCAUAAUGUGCUACUUAAACUUUUUCAUUAGAUUGGUCCAUUGGUUAGGGUAAAGAUAUAUCCCGACAUACUUUUCUAUCGUCAUGAUCUGACUGAAAAUUAGAGUCUGUAAACCCCACUAGUUUCAAAUCAGAUUCUCUAUAAAUCAGCUACUGAUCUUUAGUAUUUC
Molecule: long non-coding RNA, 249 nt
Filed under: Elaeis guineensis (African oil palm)
Lineage: Eukaryota; Viridiplantae; Streptophyta; Magnoliopsida; Arecales; Arecaceae
Description: long non-coding RNA (EGUI_LNC039630)
Source: RNAcentral